AUGAAAAGAGGAGGAUGGUCUAACCCUCCGACGGGAUUUGUUAAACUUAACGUUGAUGCUUCUUUUGACCUAGACCUUCUCAGGGGUACGAUCGGGGUUGUCUUAAGAGAUGACAAAGGUAGGUUCAUCGGUGGGGGAAGUGGUAAGAUUGACUGGUGUGCAGAUGUGUUGAUAGCUGAAGCUUUGGUGUUAAAAUUUGGCCUAUCGCUUGCGCAAAGGACGGCUUGUAAUCGCAUAAUUAUUAACUCGGAUAAUAUGGAGGUGAUCGAGACCAUGAACGAAGGAGGACGAUCGUCGGGGGCAGCAGCUGCAAUUUUUUAUGACUGUUUUCACUUAGCUUGCGAUUUUUCUAUUUCUAGAUUCGAGCAUUGUAAUAGAGAGGCAAAUAAAGUUGCUUAUGAACUUGCCAAGUUGGCUAGAUUUUCAUUCAUUUCUGAUUGGUUUAAGGAACCACAUAAUGCAAUUGUACCAAUCCUCAUAAACGAUGUAAUGAUUAUUUCUAAUGAAUAA
This 510-nucleotide ribosomal RNA is filed under the name Triticum aestivum (bread wheat). Its description in RNAcentral is "partial small subunit ribosomal RNA". The record is from RNAcentral. Lineage: Eukaryota; Viridiplantae; Streptophyta; Magnoliopsida; Poales; Poaceae.